UUGCAAGAAAACACAUAGCCUUCAUUUAGCAAUGCUGCAAUUCAUGCAAUGCAUGAUCAUAUAAAUGACCCAGAAAGGAAAUCUUAAAAAUUGAAACAGAAACUCAAACCAAUUGCAUUUGAGGUUUUAGGCCAAAAGAUCAAAGAUCAAGAUCACAAAACCAUUCGAACUCAAAUUCCAUUAAAAAAAAAACAAAACAAAACAAAAGAGAAAAUCUGGAUCAUUCACAACCUAAUUCUUGUGGUCAAACAGAAAGUCACCAUUUAACAAAGAUGCAAUUCCAGCAACCAUGAUCCGAUUGAAGACAGAAUAAAUAAGUAGAAGCCAAAACACAACUCAAACCAAUUGCGAUUUUGAGGUUUCAGGCAAAACGAUCAUAUGUGUGUGUGUGUGUAAAUUCAAAAUCAACAAAGCAGAAAUAGAAUUAGAAGAAGUAAAGAAAAAAAGGAGGAAGAAAAACUCAAUCACUCACAAACGACAGAUUUUUUGCAAUUCAAGCAACCUUUAAUCCUCCAAAUAAACCCACUGAAAAAAACCUUAAAAAUCAAAACCC
Long non-coding RNA from Magnolia sinica, 553 nucleotides. RefSeq lists it as uncharacterized. The transcript has 2 exons. Lineage: Eukaryota; Viridiplantae; Streptophyta; Magnoliopsida; Magnoliales; Magnoliaceae. The record is from RefSeq and is a predicted model, not a curated record.